GACGAACGCUGGCGGCGUGCCUAAUACAUGCAAGUCGAGCGGACUUUCAAGAAGCUUGCUUUUUGAAAGUUAGCGGCGGACGGGUGAGUAACACGUGGGCAACCUGCCUGUAAGACGGGGAUAACUCCGGGAAACCGGGGCUAAUACCGGAUAAUAUCUUUCUUCGCAUGAAGGAAGGUUGAAAGGCGGCGCAAGCUGCCGCUUGCAGAUGGGCCCGCGGCGCAUUAGCUAGUUGGUGAGGUAACGGCUCACCAAGGCGACGAUGCGUAGCCGACCGGGGAGGGUGAUCGGCCACACUGGGACUGAGCCACUGCCCAGACUCCUACGGGAGGCAGGAGUAGGGAAUCUUCCGCAAUGGACGAAGGUCGGACGGAGAAACGCCGCGUGAGCGAAGAAGGUCUUCGGAUCGUAAAGCUCUGUUGUCAGGGAAGAACAAGUACCGUUCGAACAGGACGGUACCUUGACGGUACCUGACCAGAAAGCCACGGCUAACUACGUGCCAGCAGCCGCCGUAA
This 515-nucleotide ribosomal RNA is filed under the name uncultured bacterium. RNAcentral's name for it is "partial 16S ribosomal RNA". It matches the Rfam family "Bacterial small subunit ribosomal RNA", at positions 28 to 523 of the family's 1533-position model. The record is from RNAcentral.